RNAcentral lists this ribosomal RNA (408 nucleotides) under uncultured bacterium. RNAcentral describes it as "partial 16S ribosomal RNA". It matches the Rfam family "Bacterial small subunit ribosomal RNA", at positions 30 to 526 of the family's 1533-position model. The record is from RNAcentral.
AUUGAACGCUGGCGGCAGGCCUAACACAUGCAAGUAGAGCGAAGCGGCGGAUGGGUGAGUAACGCGUGGGUAACCUGCCCUUAAGUCUGGGAUACCAUUUGGAAACAGAUGCUAAUACCGGAUACUAACGGAUGGACCUGCGAUACAUUAGCUAGUUGGUAAGGUAACGGCUUACCAAGGCGCGGAUGCAUAGCCGAGGUGCGAGACUGAGCGGCCACAGUGGGACUGAGACACGGCACAAACUUCUACGGUAGGCAGCAGUAGGGAAUCUUCCACAAUGGACGAAAUUAUGAUGGAGCAACGCCGCGUGAGUGAAGAAGGUUUUCGGAUCGUAAAGCUCUGUUGUUGGUGAAGCGGUAAUCAACCAGAAAGUCACGGCUAACUACGUGCCAGCAGCCGCGGUAAUUC